RNAcentral lists this long non-coding RNA (1332 nucleotides) under Zonotrichia albicollis (white-throated sparrow). RNAcentral's name for it is "lncRNA (ENSZALG00000002397.1)". Lineage: Eukaryota; Metazoa; Chordata; Aves; Passeriformes; Passerellidae. The record is from RNAcentral.
AAGUGACAAAACAUUUUACCAGUGUGGCCUGACUAGAAGUUCAUUUGGUCAGAUAUGUCUCCAGUACUGGCCAUAAGUAGAUGUCUGGGAAAGGCAAAGAACACGACAAGAACACAAUACUUUCCCUUUUUCCUUUCUCAGCCUUUUGGGGAAAAAUGGCCUUCAAUCUUUGGCUGACCAGUGUGGUGUACACAUAAACCUCAGCAUUUUCCAUCAGUACCCAUCUCAUGUUUCAGUGCCUAUUUGUACUUUAAUUGUUUCUCGUGACUUGCUGGCUCUGCUGGGCUAGGGCUUACAUGUGGCAGAUCAAGAUCAUUUUGUGAGGCACAUGUCUGCACAGAGUGAAGGACAGCUAUUGCACUGGGAAACAUUAAACCUCUGGUUUAGCUAGACAAAACAGAUUGGAAGGGGAAAAGGCACACAUCAUGGUCUUUGAUUCUUUAAGUUAGGCACUAAUUAUAAACACAUUCCUAAAAUCUGACAGAUAGUACAUUGCUGCACAGUCAUGACAGCAAAACCCUUCAUAGCAAUUUGAAGCUCAAGGAAAUUUCCAUUGCCACAGCACUCGACCUUCUUCACAGGGAAUAGAGAGAAAACAUUUGCUUGCUCUGGGGGAGAGCAGAGCAUGCUGAUGGAGUAGGCUGCACAUCCUUGGCUGGAUGCUGCCACAAACCACUCAGGCAGUAGAGAAAGGGAUACUCCAAGGUCUAGACCAUGUCCAAGAGCCCUCAAAUCCAGGAGCUGAUGCUGCUCAGCAGCUUACUGGAGGAAAGCGCAAAGCUUCGGAAUCAAAUCCCUUGGUUCUGGAGAAUGAUCCUCUCACAGCAGCAAAUGCUUAGCUACAAGGACCAGCAGAAAAGAGACAGACUAAUUCAAACCCUUGAUAAAUACAAGAAGGAUCUUGUAUGUGAUCUUCGUGCCUCACCAGUCAAGUGCAGAAGUAUUUCUCCAAACCAGCAGAAGGUAUGUGAUGUUCUGACAGCGUAAGACCUGUCACAGAGGUGGCAUUGAGCCACAUGAAAAAGCCCAUUUUCCCCUUAGUUAGCUGUGCUCUGUGGUGUGGGGAGUGCCUGUAGCACAGCAGUUAUGUGCAGGUUUGUUCAGUGUGGCUUUUUAUAGUCCAGUCAAGCAGAGAUAAUAUUUGGUCUCAGUUUUGCCACCUGGCAUCUGUCCUCCCACUGAAUUGUUUCUGUCCCUACAUGGCCUACAGUGACAGGUAUCCAUGUUAUGCUGUGUGUUUGUGACUAAAUUGUGUUGAAGAGAACACAGUGUUUUCAAGAGAAUGGUAUUCCAAUAUUUUUCUGUGUAUUCCCACACUUUGCGUUGUUUUAC